This 548-nucleotide ribosomal RNA is filed under the name uncultured Glomeromycotina. Its description in RNAcentral is "SSU rRNA". It matches the Rfam family "Eukaryotic small subunit ribosomal RNA", at positions 548 to 1098 of the family's 1831-position model. The record is from RNAcentral. Lineage: Eukaryota; Fungi; Glomeromycota.
UUGGAGGGCAAGUCUGGUGCCAGCAGCCGCGGUAAUUCCAGCUCCAAUAGCGUAUAUUAAAGUUGUUGCAGUUAAAAAGCUCGUAGUUGAAUUUCGAGAUCGAAUUGUUGGUCGUGCCUCGGUACGUACUGGCAUUAUUGAUUUCUCCCUUCUGAAGAACCACGAUGUCAUUAAUUUGGUGUCGUGGGGAAUCAGGACUGUUACUUUGAAAAAAUUAGAGUGUUUAAAGCAGGCUCACGCUUGAAUACAUUAGCAUGGAAUAAUGAAAUAGGACGUUUGAUUCUAUUUUGUUGGUUUCUAGGAUCGACGUAAUGAUUAAUAGGGAUAGUUGGGGGCAUUAGUAUUCAAUUGUCAGAGGUGAAAUUCUUGGAUUUAUUGAAGACUAACUACUGCGAAAGCAUUUGCCAAGGAUGUUUUCAUUAAUCAAGAACGAAAGUUAGGGGAUCGAAGACGAUCAGAUACCGUCGUAGUCUUAACCAUAAACUAUGCCGACUAGGGAUCGGAUGAUGUUAAUUUUUUAAUGACUCAUUCGGCGCCUUACGAGAAAC